AGAUUGAACGCUAGCGGGAUGCUUUACACAUGCAAGUCGAACGGCAGCGCGGACUUCGGUCUGGCGGCGAGUGGCGAACGGGUGAGUAAUAUAUCGGAACGUGCCCAGUAGCGGGGGGUAACUACGCGAAAGCGUGGCUAAUACCGCAUACGCCCUACGGGGGAAAGGGGGGGAUCGCAAGACCUCUCACUAUUGGAGCGGCCGAUAUCAGAUUAGCUAGUUGGUGAGGUAAAGGCUCACCAAGGCGACGAUCUGUAGCUGGUUUGAGAGGACGACCAGCCACACUGGGACUGAGACACGGCCCAGACUCCUACGGGAGCAGCAGUGGGGAAUUUGGACAAGUGGGGGAAACCCUGGAUCCAGCCAUCCCGCGUGUGCGAUGAAGGUCCGUUCGGGUUGUAAGCGUACGUUUGGCGAGGGAAGAACGGCGUUAGACGUAAUAUUACAGUCGUCUACUA
This 458-nucleotide ribosomal RNA is filed under the name uncultured soil bacterium. RNAcentral's name for it is "bacterial SSU rRNA". It matches the Rfam family "Bacterial small subunit ribosomal RNA", at positions 26 to 488 of the family's 1533-position model. The record is from RNAcentral.